CGGCAGCUGACGGGCGGGCCCUUCCGGAGGCGCCGCGCCUGGACCGUGGCCGCAGGUUGGGCAGCGCCAGACGCAGAGCCCUGUGCCGCUUGCGUCCCCGGGCUUCCUGCCCGACAAGGACGGGGGGCCGGACAGAGAGCCGUGUCGGCCGAGACCCGAAUCCGGGAUCAGGGGUUCCAGUCUCGAUCAUCAGUGAAGUCCUUCCACAUCCAUGGGGCGUCCACCAACUAGGAGCUUAAUCAACACAACGCUGUGGCCUCUCCAGCUCAGGGACGUGCCUUUCCCGUGUCUUCUUCUCACACACAAACGUAGCCUGCAAGGAAGGUCAGGUUCAAUGCACGGAAUCUACCCUGCUGCCCGCUAGGAGGUCAUAUGUGUAUCACAGACCCGCAGAGAAUGCUCUCCACAGUACAUGAAGCGCGGUACAAAUGGAAUGAGUGUAACGGGCAUUCUCUGUUUGAAAAAAGUUAUCCCAAU
This 477-nucleotide long non-coding RNA is filed under the name Homo sapiens (human). RNAcentral's name for it is "non-protein coding lnc-CLN8-5:2". Lineage: Eukaryota; Metazoa; Chordata; Mammalia; Primates; Hominidae. The record is from RNAcentral.